Molecule: long non-coding RNA, 919 nt
Organism: Sinocyclocheilus anshuiensis
Lineage: Eukaryota; Metazoa; Chordata; Actinopteri; Cypriniformes; Cyprinidae
Exons: 4
Source: RefSeq, a predicted model, not a curated record
AUUCGCAGGACUUCCCAAUGGUUUGACUAGUUUUACUACCACGCGUUGAGGAAAUCUACUUGUUACGGACAUUGAUUAGUGGAAGUGGAAACACUAAAGCAAAUAAAGGAGGAAGCGCUGCUAAAGUGGAGUGAGAAGGAGGAGCUGCAUACCAUCUUGAAGUGCCAUAUACGGACUUUGCUCUCACUUCACCUGUUUUCAUUCACUCUUGCUGCAUCGCCAGAAUCAAGCACAAAUACAGGCUCCAACGCGAUACUGCUGCAGUAUGGAUAAUAUUCAGAAUGCUAAGAGUGAGACAGAGGAGGUGAAAGUUGCUAUGCUGGAAAAUGAAAAUAAAGCAGAACAACCCAAAGAUGUCAAUCAAAAACCUGAAAAGCCUCAGUGCACCAGGAAAAAAUGUAAGGAAUCUGCUGUGAACCAGAAGAUGGAGUACCUGCGGGCUAAUAAAGGACUCAUAGCCACUGUAUUGAUUUCAGCUGCUCUUAUAUUUGCUGUUGUGGUUGCCAUGCUUGCCACUACAGAUGGGCACAGUCACUCAGCGCACAACACAAAACACAUUGUGCACGUGCAUAAUGUCACAGAAAUGCCAUAGCAAUAGCUGCAGCAGACUAGAAGGAUAAAUCAGUUUGACCAGCACUGUUAUUUUAUUUAUUAAAAAAAAAAAGUCUUUUCAUUUUAGACAGUUUCUGAUAUUGAUUAUGUUUUAUGUUAUAAAGUGUCAUCUGAAUAUGACAUUUUCCAGCAUAAUUAAAGGUGUAGUUCAGCCAAAAAUUAAAAUUUGCAUUGUUUACUCACCCUCAUGUUGUUCCAAACCUGUAUGUUUUUUUAUGUUAUAUGAUAAAUAUCUUUGUCCAUUCAGUGAAAGUCCAAUGGGGUCCAAAACAACAUUGGACCCUACUGACAAUUCUUCUUUUGUGAU